GACGAACGCUGGCGGUGUGCUUAACACAUGCAAGUCGAACGGUAAGGCCCUUUCGGGGGUCCACGAGUGGCGAACGGGUGAGUAACACGUGAGUAACCUGCCCUCAUCUCUGGGAUAACAGUCGGAAACGGUUGCUAAUACUGGAUAUGAGCUUGCAAGGCAUCUUGUGGGUUGGAAAGAUUUUUUUGGUUGGGGAUGGACUCGCGGCCUAUCAGCUUGUUGGUGAGGUAGUGGCUCACCAAGGCUUCGACGGGUAGCCGGCCUGAGAGGGCGACCGGCCACAUUGGGACUGAGAUACGGCCCAAACUCCUACGGGAGGCAGCAGUGGGGAAUAUUGCACAAUGGACGGAAGUCUGAUGCAGCAACGCCGCGUGCGGGAUGACGGCCUUCGGGUUGUAAACCGCUUUCAAUUGUGACGAAGCUUUUUGUGACGGUAGCAGUAGAAGAAGCACCGGCUAACUACGUG
This 466-nucleotide ribosomal RNA is filed under the name uncultured bacterium. Its description in RNAcentral is "partial 16S ribosomal RNA". It matches the Rfam family "Bacterial small subunit ribosomal RNA", at positions 28 to 507 of the family's 1533-position model. The record is from RNAcentral.